GUGGAUUCCAUUCAGAGUGAGGAGGAUGAGGAUCCUUCUGAAUUUCUUGAACAGAAAUAUUAUGGACAAGAUAGAUCAUUAGGUGAGGUGUCUUUAAUGGAUGGUGCUUCUAGAAGCUCCCAAAACAAGAAGUUGGUGCUAAACAGAAAUUUCUCUUCAUCUACCCCUCGCACAACGGCAGCACCAGUUCCACGGUCAUUAGUCAAAAUUUCCAACCCCAGUUCUGGGAAGCGAAGAGUGCAAUCAGAAAAUACUCUUGCACAAUCAGUUCCAAAUUUCUCUGAUUUCAGAAAAGAGAACACAAAGCCCUCUUCUGGAGUCAGCAAAACAGCAAAUCGCACACAGGUGAGAACUUAUGCCCGCAGCAAGAGUACAACUGAAGAGAUACCUCUUGCAAAGGAAGAAAAGCC
RNAcentral lists this unclassified non-coding RNA (410 nucleotides) under Hevea brasiliensis (rubber tree). The record is from RNAcentral. Lineage: Eukaryota; Viridiplantae; Streptophyta; Magnoliopsida; Malpighiales; Euphorbiaceae.